AUGCAAGUUCUCCCUCGGCUCCAGCAAGCCAGGGUCACCUUAACUCUGCCCACCAAAGUGGGACUGAAGCAGCGGAGCAACAGGGUAACAGCGGGGCCUGUAGUGUUUAUCCCUGCCGGAUCCCCGAGGGCGGGAGGAGUGGGGGACCCCGGCCAGGGGGGACCGGGGGCACCUGACACCCAUGGGUGGAGCCCUGAGAGGAAGAAAGUGGAGGGAGCAACUCGGCUUCAACUGAGCUGGCCGAGUCGGGGGAGGGCCCAAGCGGGCCACCAAUGGUCAGGCCCAGAUCUGGAUCAAGCCAUCUGCCAAUGGCCAAAUCAGGUCCUGAUCUACUCAACUCAGGUCUUAACUAACAACCUGAUCCCUAAUCAGGCCAAUCCAGCCACCACUGGCCAACCCAAGUCUGCAAAAGACCAAUGAGAAAGCACCAACCAAAGGCUGCUCCCAAAGAACCAAUAGUCAAGUCAGGUCUUGACCAACCUGACCCAAUCCCUACCUAGACCAGCUGGAAUGGGUUAAUCCAGGCCUGCACCAACCCAGCCAGUGAUGGCCAACCCCAUGUCUAGACCAGGCAACCACCAACGGUCAACUGAGAUCCAUGACAGGCAAAUGAGGCAAGGCCAACCCAACUAACCAACGGGUGACUCGGGUCUUGACCAGCUCGACCUAAUCCCUACCCAGGCCAACCAGAACAGGCCAAUCUGUGCCUGUACCAACCCCAUACCUGGACCAAGCAACCACCAACGGUCAACUAAGGUCCACGACAGGCCAAUGAGACAAGGCCAAACCAAACCUGGGCCAACCCAAAGAACCAACGGUCAACCCAGGUCUUGACCAACUCCACCCAGUCCCUACCCAGGCCAACUAGAAGAGGCCAGAAGAGGGACCAGGCUAAGGCCAACUGAGGUCGGUCCAACCUCUUCUUGUAUCCAACCCAAAGAACCAACGGUCAACCCAGGUCUUGACCAACUCCACCCAGUCCCUACCCAGGCCAACUAGAAGAGGCCAGAAGAGGGACCAGGCUAAGGCCAACUGAGGUCGGUCCAACCUCUUCUUGUACGUCCCCACCUCAUCCUCGAGCCUGUUCCAAUCGCAGCUGAUCCGUGCCCGGGGCCAACCAGCCAACGCCACGCAGCCGUUCCCAUGCCAAGGGGCGGACGCCACCUCGCCCACAGGCCCCCCCCCACCCAGCACCCAACCCAUGUGGCUAGGGCCAGGCCCCACCCAUCCUGCCCCAAAGAACAUCCUACCCUUCCUCCCAGGGCCUCACCGGCACCUCCCGCUGGCUGCCGGGUGCCUCCCGCAAUAAAAUAAGCUUAAAAAACCCA
RNAcentral lists this long non-coding RNA (1328 nucleotides) under Struthio camelus australis. Its description in RNAcentral is "lncRNA (ENSSCUG00000002879.1)". Lineage: Eukaryota; Metazoa; Chordata; Aves; Struthioniformes; Struthionidae. The record is from RNAcentral.